AGGAAGUCCAAUUAUUUUAUCUGGUUACACAUUGCUCACCACUUCACUGCUCCAGCACAAAACUUAGGGUCCCAGCAGCUUUCCGUCUUCAGGACAGCCAUUUUAGACUGCCGUUUCUCCCUGUCUUCCAAGGGAGUAAUACCUAGCUAGGGAGGGGAGAUGUGGUCCCCCUCGAUCCAGCUGGCGGUCUCCCCCUCUUCGUCCACCACUCCAAGGUGGGUCAGAUGACUCCGGUCCUGUAGGGACCCUUCCGACAAGGUAAACACGGAUCAAAGCCAUGCACGAUCGCGGUAUCUGAUCCGUUGUCAAUGGAACCACCACCGGAAGUCUAGAACUGGUUGUUAUGAUUCUGUGCAUUUCGGUGAC
Molecule: non-coding RNA, 366 nt
Organism: Notechis scutatus (mainland tiger snake)
Lineage: Eukaryota; Metazoa; Chordata; Lepidosauria; Squamata; Elapidae
Source: RefSeq, a predicted model, not a curated record